GGGUUGUGAGGUUAAGCGACUAAGCGUACACGGUGGAUGCCCUGGCAGUCAGAGGCGAUGAAGGACGUGCUAAUCUGCGAUAAGCGUCGGUAAGGUGAUAUGAACCGUUAUAACCGGCGAUUUCCGAAUGGGGAAACCCAGUGUGUUUCGACACACUAUCAUUAACUGAAUCCAUAGGUUAAUGAGGCGAACCGGGGGAACUGAAACAUCUAAGUACCCCGAGGAAAAGAAAUCAACCGAGAUUCCCCCAGUAGCGGCGAGCGAACGGGGAGGAGCCCAGAGCCUGAAUCAGUGUGUGUGUUAGUGGAAGCGUCUGGAAAGGCGCGCGAUACAGGGUGACAGCCCCGUACACAAAAAUGCACAUGCUGUGAGCUCGAUGAGUAGGGCGGGACACGUGGUAUCCUGUCUGAAUAUGGGGGGACCAUCCUCCAAGGCUAAAUACUCCUGACUGACCGAUAGUGAACCAGUACCGUGAGGGAAAGGCGAAAAGAACCCCGGCGAGGGGAGUGAAAAAGAACCUGAAACCGUGUACGUACAAGCAGUGGGAGCCUCUUUUAUGGGGUGACUGCGUACCUUUUGUAUAAUGGGUCAGCGACUUAUAUUCUGUAGCAAGGUUAACCGAAUAGGGGAGCCGAAGGGAAACCGAGUCUUAACUGGGCGUUAAGUUGCAGGGUAUAGACCCGAAACCCGGUGAUCUAGCCAUGGGCAGGUUGAAGGUUGGGUAACACUAACUGGAGGACCGAACCGACUAAUGUUGAAAAAUUAGCGGAUGACUUGUGGCUGGGGGUGAAAGGCCAAUCAAACCGGGAGAUAGCUGGUUCUCCCCGAAAGCUAUUUAGGUAGCGCCUCGUGAAUUCAUCUCCGGGGGUAGAGCACUGUUUCGGCAAGGGGGUCAUCCCGACUUACCAACCCGAUGCAAACUGCGAAUACCGGAGAAUGUUAUCACGGGAGACACACGGCGGGUGCUAACGUCCGUCGUGAAGAGGGAAACAACCCAGACCGCCAGCUAAGGUCCCAAAGUCAUGGUUAAGUGGGAAACGAUGUGGGAAGGCCCAGACAGCCAGGAUGUUGGCUUAGAAGCAGCCAUCAUUUAAAGAAAGCGUAAUAGCUCACUGGUCGAGUCGGCCUGCGCGGAAGAUGUAACGGGGCUAAACCAUGCACCGAAGCUGCGGCAGCGACACUGUGUGUUGUUGGGUAGGGGAGCGUUCUGUAAGCCUGUGAAGGUGUACUGUGAGGUAUGCUGGAGGUAUCAGAAGUGCGAAUGCUGACAUAAGUAACGAUAAAGCGGGUGAAAAGCCCGCUCGCCGGAAGACCAAGGGUUCCUGUCCAACGUUAAUCGGGGCAGGGUGAGUCGACCCCUAAGGCGAGGCCGAAAGGCGUAGUCGAUGGGAAACAGGUUAAUAUUCCUGUACUUGGUGUUACUGCGAAGGGGGGACGGAGAAGGCUAUGUUGGCCGGGCGACGGUUGUCCCGGUUUAAGCGUGUAGGCUGGUUUUCCAGGCAAAUCCGGAAAAUCAAGGCUGAGGCGUGAUGACGAGGCACUACGGUGCUGAAGCAACAAAUGCCCUGCUUCCAGGAAAAGCCUCUAAGCAUCAGGUAACAUCAAAUCGUACCCCAAACCGACACAGGUGGUCAGGUAGAGAAUACCAAGGCGCUUGAGAGAACUCGGGUGAAGGAACUAGGCAAAAUGGUGCCGUAACUUCGGGAGAAGGCACGCUGAUAUGUAGGUGAAGUCCCUCGCGGAUGGAGCUGAAAUCAGUCGAAGAUACCAGCUGGCUGCAACUGUUUAUUAAAAACACAGCACUGUGCAAACACGAAAGUGGACGUAUACGGUGUGACGCCUGCCCGGUGCCGGAAGGUUAAUUGAUGGGGUCAGCGCAAGCGAAGCUCUUGAUCGAAGCCCCGGUAAACGGCGGCCGUAACUAUAACGGUCCUAAGGUAGCGAAAUUCCUUGUCGGGUAAGUUCCGACCUGCACGAAUGGCGUAAUGAUGGCCAGGCUGUCUCCACCCGAGACUCAGUGAAAUUGAACUCGCUGUGAAGAUGCAGUGUACCCGCGGCAAGACGGAAAGACCCCGUGAACCUUUACUAUAGCUUGACACUGAACAUUGAGCCUUGAUGUGUAGGAUAGGUGGGAGGCUUAGAAGUGUGGACGCCAGUCUGCAUGGAGCCGACCUUGAAAUACCACCCUUUAAUGUUUGAUGUUCUAACGUUGACCCGUGAUCCGGGUUGCGGACAGUGUCUGGUGGGUAGUUUGACUGGGGCGGUCUCCUCCUAAAGAGUAACGGAGGAGCACGAAGGUUGGCUAAUCCUGGUCGGACAUCAGGAGGUUAGUGCAAUGGCAUAAGCCAGCUUGACUGCGAGCGUGACGGCGCGAGCAGGUGCGAAAGCAGGUCAUAGUGAUCCGGUGGUUCUGAAUGGAAGGGCCAUCGCUCAACGGAUAAAAGGUACUCCGGGGAUAACAGGCUGAUACCGCCCAAGAGUUCAUAUCGACGGCGGUGUUUGGCACCUCGAUGUCGGCUCAUCACAUCCUGGGGCUGAAGUAGGUCCCAAGGGUAUGGCUGUUCGCCAUUUAAAGUGGUACGCGAGCUGGGUUUAGAACGUCGUGAGACAGUUCGGUCCCUAUCUGCCGUGGGCGCUGGAGAACUGAGGGGGGCUGCUCCUAGUACGAGAGGACCGGAGUGGACGCAUCACUGGUGUUCGGGUUGUCAUGCCAAUGGCACUGCCCGGUAGCUAAAUGCGGAAGAGAUAAGUGCUGAAAGCAUCUAAGCACGAAACUUGCCCCGAGAUGAGUUCUCCCUGACUCCUUGAGAGUCCUGAAGGAACGUUGAAGACGACGACGUUGAUAGGCCGGGUGUGUAAGCGCAGCGAUGCGUUGAGCUAACCGGUACUAAUGAACCGUGAGGCUUAACCUUACAACGCCGAAGCUGUU
Molecule: ribosomal RNA, 2929 nt
Filed under: Escherichia coli
Lineage: Bacteria; Pseudomonadati; Pseudomonadota; Gammaproteobacteria; Enterobacterales; Enterobacteriaceae
Description: 23S ribosomal RNA
Rfam family: Bacterial large subunit ribosomal RNA
Source: RNAcentral